AGCAAGAGAAGGGCGUAUGGGGGAUGCCUAGGCUCCCAGAGGCGAGGAAGGACGUGAUAAGCUGCGAAAAGCCGCGGGGAUCUGCACACGAGAUUUGAUCCGCGGAUGUCCGAAUGGGGCAACCCGGCUGGUUGAAGGCCAGUCAUCCCGAUUUAUCGGGAAGCUAACCCGCUGAACUGAAACAUCUAAGUAGGCGGAGGAAGAGAAAACAAGAGUGAUUCCGUUAGUAGUGGCGAGCGAAAGCGGACUAGUCCAAACCAAUGUUGUUUCGGCAACAUUGGGGUUGUAGGACCACGAUAUUCUUUGCGUCGGCCAACUGGAACCCUUUGGAAAGAGGGGCCGUAGACGGUGAUAGCCCGGUACAGGCAAGUUGCGUCAAAGAUAGUGGUAUCCUGAGUAGCGCGGGGCACGUGAAACCCUGUGUGAAUCCGGCGGGACCAUCCGCCAAGACUAAAUACUCCUGAGAGACCGAUA
RNAcentral lists this ribosomal RNA (474 nucleotides) under uncultured Stichotrichia. RNAcentral describes it as "partial Bacterial large subunit ribosomal RNA". It matches the Rfam family "Bacterial large subunit ribosomal RNA", at positions 1 to 489 of the family's 2925-position model. Lineage: Eukaryota; Ciliophora; Spirotrichea. The record is from RNAcentral.